GACGGAGGGGGCUAGCGUUGUUCGGAAUUACUGGGCGUAAAGCGCGCGUAGGCGGCGCAUUAAGUCAGAGGUGAAAGCCCGGGGCUCAACCCCGGAAUUGCCUUUGAGACUGGUGUGCUUGAGACGGAAGAGGUGAGUGGAAUUCCCAGUGUAGAGGUGAAAUUCGUAGAUAUUGGGAAGAACACCAGUGGCGAAGGCGGCUCACUGGUCCGUAACUGACGCUGAGGUGACGAAAGGCGUGGGGAGCAAAACAGGAUUAGAUACCCGCGUAGUCC
RNAcentral lists this ribosomal RNA (275 nucleotides) under uncultured bacterium. RNAcentral's name for it is "partial 16S ribosomal RNA". It matches the Rfam family "Bacterial small subunit ribosomal RNA", at positions 524 to 796 of the family's 1533-position model. The record is from RNAcentral.